Molecule: ribosomal RNA, 467 nt
Filed under: uncultured bacterium
Lineage: Bacteria
Description: partial 16S ribosomal RNA
Rfam family: Bacterial small subunit ribosomal RNA
Source: RNAcentral
GACGAACGCUGGCGGCGUGCUUAACACAUGCAAGUCGAACGAUGACGACCGAGCUUGCUCGGUCUGAUUAGUGGCGAACGGGUGAGUAACACGUGAGCAACCUGCCCUUCACUCUGGGAUAACCUCGGGAAAUCGGGGCUAAUACCGGAUAUGAGCUCCUGUCGCAUGGCGGGUGUUGGAAAGUUUUUCGGUGAAGGAUGGGCUCGCGGCCUAUCAGUUUGUUGGUGAGGUAGUGGCUCACCAAGGCGAUGACGGGUAGCCGGCCUGAGAGGGCGACCGGCCACACUGGGACUGAGACACGGCCCAGACUCCUACGGGAGGCAGCAGUGGGGAAUAUUGCACAAUGGGCGAAAGCCUGAUGCAGCGACGCCGCGUGAGGGAUGACGGCCUUCGGAUUGUAAACCUCUUUCAGCAGGGAAGAAGCGAAAGUGACGGUACCUGCAGAAGAAGCGCCGGCUAACUACGUG